AUGGCGUUCCGCGGCGCAGCCUCCCGCUCCUUCCUCGCCGCCGUCCGCGGUCGCACCGCUUCCACUGCCCCGCGCGUACGCGCGGCCCCCAUUCCCGCCGCCCCUCCCCGUCGCAUCCCUGCCUCGGCGCCCUCCUCCCCUCUCGCCGCCGCAAGGCCAUUGGCGGCGUUGAUGGGGUCGCCGGCGCUGGUUGCCGCAAGGCUGACGGGGCACUGCGCGUCGAGCGCGCGGGCGUGCUGUGAGCUCUCCCAGGGUACCCCCUUCUGCCGCACUUGUCAGGAUCGCUAA
RNAcentral lists this ribosomal RNA (288 nucleotides) under Triticum aestivum (bread wheat). RNAcentral describes it as "partial small subunit ribosomal RNA". Lineage: Eukaryota; Viridiplantae; Streptophyta; Magnoliopsida; Poales; Poaceae. The record is from RNAcentral.